This 1606-nucleotide unclassified non-coding RNA is filed under the name Acanthaster planci (crown-of-thorns starfish). RNAcentral describes it as "putative oxidoreductase YteT, transcript variant X5". Lineage: Eukaryota; Metazoa; Echinodermata; Asteroidea; Valvatida; Acanthasteridae. The record is from RNAcentral.
AUCAAUAAUACCUCGGUGUGGGUUUUAUAUGAUGUUGGAGUGCGAAGGACGAUGAACCCGAGUUUUGUUUGCCUAGAUUUAGGGGCCCUUGUGAUACACAUAUCUACGUCUAGUUAACAAAAGAAGUUAGCGGAAAGAUGGCUGCCCGGAUGAGUAACUAACGUUACAGUCUCCAUUGAGAAGACACGUCUAAGUUGGUACUUUAUAUGUAUCUGGAUGAAGCAAGGAGGGUUACACUGUUGGAUGAAGCCAGGAGAUAGUGUGGAGGGUAUACUGUUGGAUGAAGAAGAUUCAGUUGACUGUUUCUUGCAUAUGUGGGCCAUGUUACAGGCUGGAUAGUAUGUAAAGAUUUUAGCCCCAUGAUGUGCGACUAAAGCUAAGAGUUAAAAUGCCACUAGUGACAGUUAUUGUCAUUGGUGCAGGGCAAAGGGGGAGGAUGUACAGUAACUAUGCAUUGGACUUCCCUGAAAAGCUGAAGGUUGUUGGAGUUGCUGAUCCCAACAUCGUAGCACGAAGUCAUCUGCAGAAAAUUCACAACAUUCCCGAUGAUAGACUGUAUGAUGAUUGGACCAAAAUAACAGCACAAGACAAGUUUGCUGAUGCUGUCAUUAUCUCAACUCCAGACCAUCUUCACAGAGACCCGGCCGUUGCAUGUGCUGUGGCAGGAUAUCACAUCUUGCUGGAGAAGCCUAUGGCAACAACAGAGCAAGGAUGUCGUGACAUAGUUGAGGCCUGUACGCUUAAUAGCAUCAUUCUGUCAGUCUGCCAUGUUUUACGUCAUUAUCCCCCCAUGAGCAAGAUUAAGGAACUGAUUGACAGUGGUGCUGUGGGUGAUGUUGUCAACAUACAACACAUCGAGCAGGUUGGAUUUUGGCACUUUGCACAUUCCUUUGUCCGUGGAAACUGGUGUUGUGAGGACAAAUCUACGUUUUCGCUACUUGCCAAAUGUUGCCAUGAUGUUGACCUCCUAUCGUGGUGGAUGAGCAAGUACAAAUGCACUGGGGUAUCUUCAUUUGGGUCGCUGUCCCACUUCAGAAAGGAAAAUAAGCCUCCUGGUUCAGCCACUAGAUGCCUAGACUGUAAGAUUGAGAAAGACUGCUGCUACUCAGCCAAGAAACUCUACUUGAACAUGUAUGAAAAGUCUCAUUGGUCAUCAACACUCUCCUUUUACUCCUACAUAGAAUAUUGUAAAAGCAUGGGUAUUUCUGAUUGGCCAGUUUCAGUUAUCUGCCAUGAACCAUCAAUAGACUCCAUCACGAAGGCUUUACAAAAUGGGCCAUAUGGACGAUGUGUGUAUGACAGUGACAAUGACGUGUGUGACAAUCAGGUUGUUAGUCUGCGCUUUUUUGGAGGACAUACAGCAACGCUAACUAUGGUGGCUUUUACAGAAAGUGUGUGUAAAAGAAUUGUCCGAGUCUUUGGAACAAAGGAUCUCCAAACAGCUUUUGUCAAGAGAUGAUGAUUGGAGUUUCACCUCACAGUGGACAAAUGUUCCUUACUGGCUGGUAUUAUAUAAUUCUAGAUGAAGGACCCAUCUAUCGUUCCAGCAUCACCAAAAGAAAUUCUAAGCACUCAUCUACUGGUGUUUGAGGCAGAGAAAGCUAGG